GACGAACGCUGGCGGCGUGCUUAACACAUGCAAGUCGAACGGAAAGGCCCCCACUUUUUUGGUGGGGGUGCUCGAGUGGCGAACGGGUGAGUAACACGUGGGUGAUCUGCCCUGUACUUCGGGAUAAGCUUGGGAAACUGGGUCUAAUACCGGAUAGGACCAUGGUUUAGUGUCUCAUGGUGGAAAAAUUAUUGUUUUGGUGCAGGAUGAGCUCGCGGCCUAUCAGCUUGUUGGUGGGGUAAUGGCCUACCAAGGCGUCGACGGGUAGCCGGCCUGAGAGGGUGGACGGCGACAUUGGGACUGGGAUACGGCCCAGACUCCUACGGGAGGCAGCAGUGGGGAAUAUUGCACAAUGGGCGCAAGCCUGAUGCAGCGACGCCGCGUGGGGGAUGACGGCCUUCGGGUUGUAAACUCCUUUCGUUAGGGACGAAGCCGCACCUUUUUUGGGUGUGGUGACGGUACCUUUGUUAAGAAGCACCGGCUAACUACGUG
Molecule: ribosomal RNA, 492 nt
Filed under: uncultured bacterium
Lineage: Bacteria
Description: partial 16S ribosomal RNA
Rfam family: Bacterial small subunit ribosomal RNA
Source: RNAcentral